CAAGAGCGUAUGUAAAAGUUGUUGCAGUUAAAAAGCUCGUAGUUGAACCUUGGGUUUGGUUGGCCGGUCCGCUUUUUUGCGAGUACUGGAUUCAACCGAGCCUUUCCUUCUGGCUAACCAGUCGUUUCGGCGGCUGGCGAACCAGGACUUUUACUUUGAGAAAAUUAGAGUGUUCAAAGCAGGCAUUAGCUUGAAUAUAUUAGCAUGGAAUAAUAGAAUAGGACGUUAUGGUUCUAUUUUGUUGGUUUCUAGGACCAUCGUAAUGAUUAAUAGGGACGGUCGGGGGCAUCAGUAUUCAGUUGUCAGAGGUGAAAUUCUUGGAUUUACUGAAGACUAACUACUGCGAAAGCAUUUGCCAAGGACGUUUUCAUUAA
This 374-nucleotide ribosomal RNA is filed under the name uncultured eukaryote. RNAcentral's name for it is "partial 18S ribosomal RNA". It matches the Rfam family "Eukaryotic small subunit ribosomal RNA", at positions 592 to 976 of the family's 1831-position model. The record is from RNAcentral.